RNAcentral lists this ribosomal RNA (468 nucleotides) under uncultured bacterium. Its description in RNAcentral is "partial 16S ribosomal RNA". It matches the Rfam family "Bacterial small subunit ribosomal RNA", at positions 28 to 507 of the family's 1533-position model. The record is from RNAcentral.
GACGAACGCUGGCGGCGUGCUUAACACAUGCAAGUCGAACGGAAAGGCCCUGCUUUUGUGGGGUGCUCGAGUGGCGAACGGGUGAGUAACACGUGAGUAACCUGCCCUUGACUUUGGGAUAACUUCAGGAAACUGGGGCUAAUACCGGAUAGGAGCUCCUGCUGCAUGGUGGGGGUUGGAAAGUUUCGGCGGUUGGGGAUGGACUCGCGGCUUAUCAGCUUGUUGGUGGGGUAGUGGCUUACCAAGGCUUUGACGGGUAGCCGGCCUGAGAGGGUGAACGGCCACAUUGGGACUGCGAUACGGCGCAGACUGCUACGGGAGGCAGCAGGGGGGAAUAUUGCACAAUGGGCGGAAGCCUGAUGCAGCAACGUCGCGUGCGGGAUGACGGCCUUCGGGGUGUAAACCGCUUUCGCCUGUGACGAAGCGUGAGUGACGGUAAUGGGUAAAGAAGCACCGGCUAACUACGUG